CAUCUUUGAAAAAUCAUAAUAAUACUUGGGUAUUUAUAGGGUUUAACGCCCUCUCAAAGCUA
This is a non-coding RNA of Sarcophilus harrisii (Tasmanian devil), 62 nucleotides long. Lineage: Eukaryota; Metazoa; Chordata; Mammalia; Dasyuromorphia; Dasyuridae. The record is from Ensembl.